Molecule: non-coding RNA, 327 nt
Filed under: Paenirhodobacter enshiensis
Lineage: Bacteria; Pseudomonadati; Pseudomonadota; Alphaproteobacteria; Rhodobacterales
Description: Rhodobacter sp. DW2-9 Bacterial small subunit ribosomal RNA
Rfam family: Bacterial small subunit ribosomal RNA
Source: Rfam by way of RNAcentral
UGGUGACUGUAGGUCAUGAAUAAGCAACGGCUAAUUACGUGCCAGCAGCCGCGGUAACACGUAAGUUGCGAGCGUUGUUCGGAAUUAUUGGGCGUAAAGGGUGCGUAGGCGGUUUGAUAAGUUUGGUGUGAAAUCUCUGGGCUCAACCCAGAGUCUGCAUCGAAAACUGUCGGGCUUGAGUAUGGGAGAGGUGAGUGGAAUUUCCGGUGUAGCGGUGAAAUGCGUAGAUAUCGGAAGGAACACCUGUGGCGAAAGCGGCUCACUGGACCAUAACUGACGCUGAGGCACGAAAGCUAGGGGAGCAAACAGGAUUAGAUACCCUGGUAG